RNAcentral lists this ribosomal RNA (510 nucleotides) under uncultured Glomus. RNAcentral's name for it is "SSU rRNA". It matches the Rfam family "Eukaryotic small subunit ribosomal RNA", at positions 539 to 1061 of the family's 1831-position model. Lineage: Eukaryota; Fungi; Glomeromycota; Glomeromycetes; Glomerales; Glomeraceae. The record is from RNAcentral.
NUCUUGGGAGGCAAGUCUGGUGCCAGCAGCCGCGGUUAUUCCAGCUCCAAUAGCGUAUAUUAAAGUUGUUGCAGUUAAAAAGCUCGUAGUUGAAUUUCGGGACUAAUAUGUCGGUCGUACUUUGUACGUACUAGCAUUAUUGGUUUCUCCCUUCUGACGAACCACGAUGUCAUUAAUUUGGUGUCGCGGGAAAUCAGGACUGUUACUUUGAAAAAAUUAGAGUGUUUAAAGCAAGCUCGCGCUUGAAUACAUUAGCAUGGAAUAAUGAAAUAGGACGUUUGAUUCUAUUUUGUUGGUUUCUAGGAUCGACGUAAUGAUUAAUAGGGAUAGUUGGGGGCAUUAGUAUUCAAUUGUCAGAGGUGAAAUUCUUGGAUUUAUUGAAGACUAACUACUGCGAAAGCAUUUGCCAAGGAUGUUUUCAUUAAUCAAGAACGAAAGUUAGGGGAUCGAAGACGAUCAGAUACCGUCGUAGUCUUAACCAUAAACUAUGCCGACUAGGGAUCGGAUGAU